GAAGUAGUAUCAUACACUGGCCUUUUCAAGUACUUAGAUGGCCACUAUUACAGAUAUAGGUGGUAUCUAUACUUUAACCCUUCUUCAAUCUUCAGCAAAUAUCUUUAUAUAGUGGAUAUGAUAUCUCAACAAUAGAUCUCAACUCAUUUAAGGUGAAAUCCAUACUUAGAUACCACAUUACCCGUAGCCCAAUUGCAUGGCAACACGUAUUAAUCCUUGUUCAUCCUCUUCAUUCAAGCAUGAUAUACACAUACCCACAAGAAGGUUCACAAUUGCAUCAUCUAGAACAUAUCGUACUUCCAAAUGGGUCUCUCAGAUAUCUUCAGGAAUCCAUUCAAAAAGGCAUUUGGAGCUCAAAUCCUCAAAUGGGUAUCCACUAAAUGCUGUUCCUUUGCAGGAUGGAAAUCCUCUGACCGAAGAUCACAUUGCACCUCACCUGAAAGAGAGGCCAUUUAUCUCAGGAUCAGAAAGCCCAGAGUCUACUCUCAGCAUAACAGUUGUCGGCGCCUCAGGAGACCUUGCAAAGAAGAAAAUUUUUCCAGCACUUUUUGCUCUUUUCUAUGAAGAUUGGCUGCCUGAGAAUUUUACAGUUUUUGGUUAUGCUCGAACUAAAAUGACAGAUGAGGAGCUAAGGGACAUGAUUAGCAAAACCUUGACUUGCAGAAUUGAUAAGAGUGCAAAUUGUGGUGACAAGAUGGACCAGUUCUUAAAAAGAUGCUUUUACCAUUCGGGUCAGUACAGCUCUGAGGAGCAUUUUGCAGAAUUGGACAAGAAGCUAAAAGAGAAAGAAGGUGGAAAACUACCAAAUAGGUUAUUUUACUUAUCAAUACCUCCAAACAUCUUUGUGGAUGUGGUGAGAUGUGCUAGUCUCAGAGCUUCUUCGGCAAGUGGAUGGACAAGGGUCAUUGUUGAAAAGCCUUUUGGCCGUGAUUCACAGUCAUCUGGAGAGCUCACUAGAUCCUUGAAGAAGUACCUCAAUGAGGACCAAAUAUUCAGGAUUGACCAUUACUUGGGGAAGGAGCUGGUUGAGAAUCUGUCAGUACUUCGAUUCUCAAAUCUUGUUUUUGAGCCUUUAUGGUCCAGGAAUUACAUCCGCAAUGUGCAGCUGAUAUUUUCUGAAGAUUUUGGCACAGAGGGACGGGGAGGAUACUUUGAUAACUAUGGUAUCAUCCGAGAUAUAAUGCAAAAUCAUCUCCUUCAGAUACUAGCACUAUUCGCAAUGGAGACACCUGUCAGCUUAGAUGCUGAGGACAUUAGAAAUGAAAAGGUCAAGGUUUUGAGGUCAAUGAGACCACUGCAGCUUGAAGACGUGAUUGUGGGCCAAUACAAAGGCCAUAGCAAGGGUGGCCAAUCAUAUCCUGCUUAUACUGAUGAUCCAACUGUGCCAAAAGGCAGUAUCACCCCAACUUUUGCAGCUGCAGCUCUCUUUAUUAAUAAUGCCCGAUGGGAUGGGGUUCCUUUCUUGAUGAAGGCAGGCAAAGCUCUCCAUACUAGGCGAGCAGAGAUCAGAGUGCAGUUCAGACAUGUCCCAGGUAACUUGUACAAGCGGAACUUUGGGACUGAUUUAGACAAGGCUACAAAUGAGCUUGUGCUUCGCGUGCAACCAGAUGAAGCAAUUUACUUGAAGAUUAACAACAAGGUUCCUGGUCUUGGAAUGAAACUGGACCGUAGUGAUCUUAAUCUCCUAUACAGAGCGAGGUAUCCAAGAGGAAUACCAGAUGCUUAUGAGAGGCUGCUCUUAGAUGCAAUAGAAGGAGAACGAAGGUUGUUCAUUAGAAGUGAUGAGCUUGAUGCUGCUUGGGCACUAUUCACACCAUUGUUGAAGGAAUUGGAAGAGAAGAAGAUCAUUCCAGAGCUCUACCCCUAUGGUAGCAGGGGACCAGUUGGAGCACAUUAUCUUGCUGCAAAGCAUAAUGUUCGAUGGGGAGAUCUCAGUGGCGAGGAAUUGUAAUAGUGAAAAGCUCCACUCUAGGAUUUUGCAUGAUCAUGGUGGCUUCCAGUUUCAAAACCUUCACUGGGUAACCAUCAGUUUAUCACUUUCUAGCCAAACUUGUUGGCCAAAACGUCCUAGUAACACAGCUGAAGCAGGAGUACAAAAGGCAUAUAGCGAUGCAAAACUGCCUGAUAGUCCAGGGUGGAGAGAGUCUGUAGGAGGCGUAUAAGAAGGUUUAAGUGUUUGUGAUAUGUGUGUAACAUGGCAUUGUUAAGUAGGUAUAGACAUAUUCAUGGUUAUGGAGUAUGCAGCACUGUAAAAUACAAUAUCCCAUUUUUCCGAACUUGUCAAUAACAA
RNA transcript from Vitis riparia (riverbank grape), 2290 nucleotides. It is a transcript of the gene named glucose-6-phosphate 1-dehydrogenase, chloroplastic, with no coding region annotated. The record is from RefSeq and is a predicted model, not a curated record. Lineage: Eukaryota; Viridiplantae; Streptophyta; Magnoliopsida; Vitales; Vitaceae. The transcript has 11 exons.